This 314-nucleotide small nuclear RNA is filed under the name Sus scrofa (pig). Its description in RNAcentral is "7SK RNA". It matches the Rfam family "7SK RNA", at positions 50 to 285 of the family's 331-position model. From Rfam's summary of the family: 7SK was discovered as an abundant small nuclear RNA in the mid-70s but a possible function has only recently been suggested. Two independent studies have found that 7SK RNA binds the CDK9/cyclin T complex (known as elongation factor P-TEFb). The record is from Rfam by way of RNAcentral. Lineage: Eukaryota; Metazoa; Chordata; Mammalia; Artiodactyla; Suidae.
GGAUUGUUCACUAGGACCUCAUUACUUAUCCAUUAUAAAUAUAAUAGUUUGCAUCUAUUAACCCCAAAACUGUGGGUUGCUAGGCAGGUGUCCCCUUCCUUCCCUACCAUUCCACAUGCAUUCCUAUGGAAGCUGUGCGCUCUCUCGAAGAGGACAACCUUCACCAAUGCAGGAGGACCAUUCUUCCAUCAAGUGUAUAUGAGUAGCUGUGCUCCCCGGCUAGAACCUCCAAACAAGCUCUCAUCUGAGUUUUUAUAUAAUUUUAAAAUGAAAGGCAUAAGGAUGAUAAAGCAGGAGAGAGCUAUAACGUGCAU